GUAAUAAUGCCACUGUUCCUGGUAUAUAAUUCACGUCUGAUGAUCCAAAUCAAAUGCGCUGUUUCUUUUAUUUCCAGUAGUUUAGACAUUCAAUCUUCAUCAAGUUUACAAUACAAACAAAGCCGUUCUUCCCCCAGCAAGCCUAUGAGGAUUUGAAAAGUAACUACGCUACAUAGUAAUGUUACAACUAAAGCCAAAAAUUUUUAUAGAAAAUUAUUUUGAAGAUGAAGCAUCCUUUGAAUCUUGUUUUGAUCCUGACAUAGCAGCACUUGCAGCUAUUGUCAUGGCUGUUGCUGCUGCCCCCAGCUUAGCACCACCAGCAGCCUUCAUUGCACCUGCCACUUUUGCGAAUACGGCUAUCCCUCCAACAAGCAUAGCCCUCAAAGCAACUGUUGGUUUUACUGCCAUUUCUUGUGCGACCUGAAGUUCUGUCCCACAGCAAUCAGCCAAACUUAAGAAAAGAAAACCAAGCUGUCCGACUGCUUAGUGACCCCUUCACCUGAAGUUCUACCAAUGAGCUGCUCCUACAGUAAUCGGCUGAAUUUGAGAAAACCAGACUAGCCUAUACAUUUGUGCGCACAAAACACCAGAAUGUUCCAAAAACAUGUAGAAUCACUCACAAAUUAAUAAAACACAAGAAGAGAGGGAGAGGGAGAGCAUUUCUCAUGACAGCAGUUAAUAAAUCUCUGAUAGAUAUAGUGCAAGAACUUCUGCACGAAUUUACAAGACUCCUUUCUCUUCAUAGUUCUCAGCCACAUGAGUUCUGAAUACAAAUAAUGGGAUGUCUAGUUUCCAAUACCUACACUGAUAAGCAAUAAUCAUACAACAUGGCAAAGCAUCUUCUAAAUUAAUUUCCUUCUGGAAAUUAAAGUAGAAGACCACAUCCAACUUGCUGUCCUUGAUCUCAACCCUUCCAUUUAAAAGUAUAGCAAUUUAGGGAAUUAUAUUAAGCGUAAUUUCUUAAAUAAUAUUCCCUGCUUUUCAAAGUGCUGAACAUUCCAUACAAUUAUCGAAAGGUUUGCCUAUAGCAUACAUUCUCAUAUCUGCAAAUUGAAUUCAUCACCAAGAUAGUAGUUUCCUCUACAUGCCCAAUAAUCAAUUAAUAACAAUGAACUAGAUAACGAUAUACACGUAUCACAAAUUCCUUACUCAUUCUUAGUGACGCCUAAUAUUAUUCACUAGGAUCUUUUCUGAUAAAAACUCCACAUUGACAUUCAAAUUAAGUUAAUUUUAAAAAAAUAACAACCAAAUUACAAAGACCCAGAUCAUAUUUCAGCUUCAAUGUCCAGUCUCAAAUAAAAGUUUCCAUGUUAGAACACCCACCCUAUAGGAAUAAGGUAACACAAAAGUUGAGAGAGAG
This 1360-nucleotide unclassified non-coding RNA is filed under the name Hevea brasiliensis (rubber tree). The record is from RNAcentral. Lineage: Eukaryota; Viridiplantae; Streptophyta; Magnoliopsida; Malpighiales; Euphorbiaceae.